Molecule: unclassified non-coding RNA, 336 nt
Filed under: soil metagenome
Description: partial contains 5.8S ribosomal RNA, internal transcribed spacer 2, and large subunit ribosomal RNA
Rfam family: 5.8S ribosomal RNA (bases 1-120)
Source: RNAcentral
GAUGAAGAACGCAGCGAAAUGCGAUAAGUAAUGUGAAUUGCAGAAUUCAGUGAAUCAUCGAAUCUUUGAACGCACAUUGCGCCCGCCAGUAUUCUGGCGGGCAUGCCUGUUCGAGCGUCAUUUCAACCAUCAAGCCCCAGGCUUGUGUUGGGGACCUGCGGCUGCCGCAGGCCCUGAAAACCAGUGGCGGGCUCGCUGUCACACCGGGCGUAGUAGAUUUUAUCUCGCUCAGGGCGUGCUGCGGGUUCCGGCCGUUAAAAAGCCUUUUUUACCCAAGGUUGACCUCGGAUCAGGUAGGAAUACCCGCUGAACUUAAGCACAUCAAUAAGCGGAGGA